This 2537-nucleotide unclassified non-coding RNA is filed under the name Acyrthosiphon pisum (pea aphid). RNAcentral's name for it is "wee1-like protein kinase, transcript variant X2". The record is from RNAcentral. Lineage: Eukaryota; Metazoa; Arthropoda; Insecta; Hemiptera; Aphididae.
UUUAUUUUUAUUUUUUUAUUAUUAUUCCUCCCGACGUAGUUCGGGUUGCUAAAAUAUUGAUUGUCCGAUUCGGAUAGCUGCUCCGCUCCGCUUCUGAGGACCAGGCGGCGGUGGCGGCGGCGGCGGCAAGAGUGAGUGUAGGACGCUUUUUUUUUUAAGCAACCUUCUCCUAUACACAAACACUCACACAAUAGUACGUCGCAGGCGCAUACAGGGUUCGUCUGGGACGUACAUUUGGCAACGCCGCCGGGUUGUUCGGCGGCGUCGCUCCCUCUAGCGCGCGCCGUACGAUCGUCUCGUCGCCGUCGUCGUCUCGCGCGCCGGUGGUAUUUCAUUUGGUUUUUUUACAUUUCAUUUUUCUGUCCCGUCUUUGCCGCCCGCCACCGCCUCCGCGCGCACCGCACAUUCCGGUUCUCUAUGGCGGAGGAGAGCGCGCGCGCGCGCGCUUACCGGGUUUUUUUCCGUCGCCCCUUACCACCACGCCCCACCCCCUCUUCACCUCCGACGUUUAUUACGUACGCCGUCGGCCAGUCGCACACGCACCGUCGUCUCCCCCGAAUGUACUGUAGCCACCGCCACCGCAGCCGCCGCGCCGCCGUCGUCGUCGCAGCCGGUGUUUACUGUACGGUGCCGUUCACGAGCGUGUGUUGUAUUAUCGGCAGCCGCCGCCGCGGAGCUUUUCGAGUCUCUGACGACGCGCCGCUGGAUAAUCGCGAUCAUUCUUAAUUUAAUUUUAUAUUUAAAUUUUUCAUCUCUCCUGCACAGUUCGCGUGUCCUAUCGUCUUAUCAGUAAUUGUAAAAAACAAAAUAAUUAAAAUAAUAACAACAAGGUUUAUACGUGAAAACAAAUAUUUGUAUUUUGUGUAUAUCUUCGGUUCACCGUAGAGUACUCGUCCCGGUCAUGAGGACCGCCGACAUCCACGGGAUUACCGGACACAUUUCUACACGGAAGUGAUGACGGGGAUAUUAUGGCAAUCAAUUUCUCAGCAUCAUUUGCAGCAUGUCUGGCAGCAGGCCUCAAAGUUCCUCGGAAUUUUAUGUACUGCAUUGCCCAAGGUAAAUUAAAUAAUUUUCACUUAAAUUGGAUUUUAGUUAACUAAUUUUUUUUUCAAAUUUCGGGUAAGUACUUACCUACCACUGCUACCAGCUACCGCGCGUAAGUUUUUACGUUAAUUUUUUUAAUCAAAAGUCAUUAGGUACUUUGUAUAAUUGAGAAGGUAGUAAGGUACUCACUAUAUUUGUAAUUAGUACUUAACAUUAUUAGCAUACCGUAACAUUAUUAAUGCUAUUAUAUUAGUAAUUUUUUCUAUACUUGAACCAAUUAAAAUUUGAAGCAGAAAUAAUAAAUAAAUAUGCGAUUUUGUUUUUAAUCUAAUAGCUGGCAAGUUACCCUAAAAUAACAAUAAAGUUUUAAACAGUUUAAUCUAUUAUCUAAACCAUCCUUGAAUCGUCAAAAUCUGUUUGGUAUUUUUUGAUUCUAUUAGUCUCAGCAUUCGCUAGUCAGCAAUAUACUUUGUUUUGUAUAUUAUAAUUAUAUAAUCACUGGUGUUACCCGUUGCUUCUAUUUGAAUACUUUUACGACCCAUCGGCCAUCCGGGAAUUCCAAAUAUAAUAUGUGUCAGCAUUUUGUGCCAAUUGAUCAAAAACUUUGAAUUUGUAUUUUGCAUAACAUUAUGCAUCCUCAAGGCCUUUAUGGCUUUAUAUAUAAGUAUAUAUAGCCCGAGUACCCGACCACUGGCGUAGCCAGGAUUAUGAAAUGUGAGAGGAGGGAGUUAAGUAUUAAUUAAAUAAAGUUUUGUACAGUUUUCGUAUAAAUAAUAUAAUAAAUACCCCUCCCCCCUGGAUACGCAACUGAACCCGACUACAUAAUAAAUAUUUGAGCUGAAUAUAUAGGUAUUACUAUUUAGUAUUUUAUCUAUUAUCUAAACAAAAUAAUAUUUGAUUCUAAUUUUUAAGUAAAAAUUAAAUUUAUUCGUGAAGCCGUGAGCCACGUAAGUAUAGCAAUAUGUAGGGGUUGAAAAAAUAAACUAUGGCGUACCUACUUAAAUGUAUGAUAAAAAUUAAAAAUUGUGAAAAUUAUAUGAUUAAUAAAUACCUAAUUUAAGAAAUAUAAUCAUGUCAGGAAAUUCCCAAAAAUUAAAUUUUGAAACAAGGUUAUAACAAAUAAGGUAUUAAUCUACUCAAAAAUAUAUUGAUAUUUUAAAAAAUUCUAAAAAAUAUACUAUUUGACUUAGUUUAUUGACUAUUUGAAAUUUCGUCCAAAAAAAUAAAAAUAUUUUUUUUUAUAUUGUAAGUGUAACGCAAGUGAAAAAUUUAAAAAUAUUGAUUAAAACAAGUUAUUUUAUCUGCCAGGUUUUCCUGUUGCAUCCUGUUACGCGCAAGUGGUAAAACUGAUUUUUGUGAUGACCCAUAUAGGGGAAGAAUAAGGCCAUAGGGGUUAUCCAUAGAUAUAUACUUCUAUACUUCGAUAUUAUAGUAUUAUAGUAUAUAUCUGUGGAGUUAUCUGAACCACUAUAAAUAUAUAAAAUCAAAUUAUA